This 691-nucleotide ribosomal RNA is filed under the name uncultured bacterium. Its description in RNAcentral is "bacterial SSU rRNA". It matches the Rfam family "Bacterial small subunit ribosomal RNA", at positions 32 to 715 of the family's 1533-position model. The record is from RNAcentral.
AACGCUAGCUACAGGCUUAACACAUGCAAGUCGAGGGGCAGCAUUGGAGUAGCAAUACUUCAGAUGGCGACCGGCGCACGGGUGAGUAACACGUAUCCAACCUGCCGCUUACUCGGGGAUAGCCUUUCGAAAGAAAGAUUAAUGCCCGAUGGUAUAAAGAGUUCGCAUGUUCUCUUUAUUAAAGAAUUUCGGUAAGCGAUGGGGAUGCGUUCCAUUAGAUUGUUGGCGGGGUAACGGCCCACCAAGUCUACGAUGGAUAGGGGUUCUGAGAGGAAGGUCCCCCACAUUGGAACUGAGACACGGUCCAAACUCCUACGGGAGGCAGCAGUGAGGAAUAUUGGUCAAUGGACGAGAGUCUGAACCAGCCAAGUAGCGUGAAGGAUGACUGCCCUAUGGGUUGUAAACUUCUUUUAUAAGGGAAUAAAGUGAGGGACGUGUCCCUUUUUGUAUGUACCUUAUGAAUAAGGAUCGGCUAACUCCGUGCCAGCAGCCGCGGUAAUACGGAGGAUCCAAGCGUUAUCCGGAUUUAUUGGGUUUAAAGGGAGCGUAGGCUGGAGAUUAAGCGUGUUGUGAAAUGCCGCGGCUCAACCGUGGCACUGCAGCGCGAACUGGUUUCCUUGAGUGCGCUGAAAGUGGGCGGAAUUUGUGGUGUAGCGGUGAAAUGCUUAGAUAUCACGAAGAACUCCGAUUG